This 232-nucleotide unclassified non-coding RNA is filed under the name fungal sp. RNAcentral describes it as "partial internal transcribed spacer region". The stretch from base 1 to 49 matches the Rfam family "Eukaryotic small subunit ribosomal RNA", at positions 1783 to 1831 of the family's 1831-position model. Lineage: Eukaryota; Fungi. The record is from RNAcentral.
UACAAGUCGUAACAAGGUAUCCGUAGGUGAACCUGCGGAUGGAUCAUUAUAGGUUAUUUUGAAUGUUGUGUGAACAGUGUGGUUGUAGGUUGUGGUGGGUAUGUGAUAUAUGAUAUGAUAUGGUAUAUAUUAUAUGAUAUCAUCCACCUUGACAACAUUGACGUACAUUAGUGCUGAAUAUCAUUAUAUUGAAAUAUAAACAACUUUCAGCAAUGGAUCUCUUGGCUCUCGC